Long non-coding RNA from Vigna angularis (adzuki bean), 791 nucleotides. RefSeq lists it as uncharacterized. The transcript is spliced from 2 exons. NCBI's taxonomy places the organism in Eukaryota, Viridiplantae, Streptophyta, Magnoliopsida, Fabales, Fabaceae. The record is from RefSeq and is a predicted model, not a curated record.
UAUAGAACGAAAUUUGAUAUGAACUAUCGCUUUCUCUCAAUUUCAGUCACAAAGAGAAGGAAGGGCGAUUCGCCAUCGAGCAUCUCGCAACCUAAUUUUCAACCAAACAUGAAACCCAUGUUUUUCAAUUUUCAAGUAACCCUGAAAUCGAACUAGAUCUAAUUCAUAUGCUGUUCAAGAGAGCUCCUUUUAUCCAUCAGAGAGAUGUUGGAACAGGAAAGGUCGGUUGAGAACCCUAAAUCGUGGAAUAUGGGUUUAGCUUUUGCAAAUUUGUUAAAUAUCGAUUGGUAAGUACCGAAGGUUUGUUUGAACACUUGUUUUUGUUAGGAAACUUAGUAUGAAAUUUUCAGCCCUGUACAAGGAUUUUUUCUUAGUUUAAUAGAUGAGUUUUAUAUUAUCAACUAAUUGGAAAUCAUUGUUGGUUAUAAUUUUUAAGUUAUUAUUAUUAUGAAAAUAGAUAGACUUAUUAUACAUGACGUUUCGAAUUCCUCUACACAUACAUUACUUUUUUAAACUUAAUGUUCAACGUUUUUUUUGUCAAAAUCACAUUUCUCUUUUGCAAACGGGAAUUUCAAGGCUGUGCUUUCAUAAAUCUUAACAUGUCAGAUGUCUGAGUUUGUUCAGGCUAUAUUAGAUUGCUCUCGCUGUGCUGGAUUGCAGGUAUUUUCUGCUUCUUCAGAUGACGAACAUUGAGUUUAUAUUGCCCCUUGUCUGUUAUUUAUAGAAAUUGUGGAUCUUUAUGAUUUCAAUGAGUGAAUUCAAAUAUUGGAUAUUGGCUGGUUGAUGUUUGA